This 57-nucleotide transfer RNA is filed under the name Camelus ferus (Wild Bactrian camel). It matches the Rfam family "tRNA", at positions 8 to 63 of the family's 71-position model. From Rfam's summary of the family: Transfer RNA (tRNA) molecules are approximately 80 nucleotides in length. Their secondary structure includes four short double-helical elements and three loops (D, anti-codon, and T loops). The record is from Rfam by way of RNAcentral. Lineage: Eukaryota; Metazoa; Chordata; Mammalia; Artiodactyla; Camelidae.
UAGCUCACUGGUAGAGCAAGUGUUUGGCACCCACAAGGUCCUGGGUUCAAUCCCCAG